UGAAUGAAUGGCUGUCAUCCAGAGAGAUAUAAAAUAUCAAGACCUCUGCUCAAAGACCACACUUGGACUGACAAUUUCAUCAUCCAGAAGACUACUGGAAAAUUGUGAAACUAUAAAUUGAGAAGUAAAGCACUCAAAAGAAGAGACAAAAGGAGUGAAGGAAAAGGAGGAGUUGACGAGGGAAAGAGAGACAAAGAUCAGACUGGUAGCAACAUGUGGCCUGACACCGCUCAUGGACCAUUGCUUUCUGAAAGGCGCCAUCAUUAGAGGGAGUUUCAGACAGAGGCAAUGAUGAGCUGUCAACACGUGAGAAAGAAUUGACUAAUGCAACAGACAUGCAACUUACUUUCAUCUAUGAAACUUCUGGUGUUAUUAGAAAGAGUAUAUCCAUGAACAUUAUUAAAGAAUGUUAUUUUACGUGAAGUAUUCAGAAAUAUUUCCUACACUUUGAAUGUUUAAGAAAUAAUACUUACAUUGCCAUUUUCAAAUUAAACUUGUCACAAAAUCUCAGAGCAUAACAGUGAAACAAAGGGAUUGUUUUUCAGAAACAAAGAAGUGUCUUAAAACUACUCAACACAAUUUGAAUCUUUCCUGAAACUUGAUCUACAUAUUUCCCGGCAAUGUAUUUUUACCAACCUUCAAACUAAACUUCUUUGUUAAAUGUAUGACUUGAUGGCGAUGUCGGAUAUGAAACUACUGUAAGUACUUUCCCUUUUAAAUUUCAGUUGUCAAGUCACGUUAUCUAGUUUAUACUUCUCUGAAUUAUAUUCAGUGCUUUCCCAUUCUUUGCUAACACAACAUCUCAUAAAAUCACAUAGGGUAACAUAAUAUGACAGUUAAAUUUAAGAGACCUCUUAUUUUAUUUGAAAUUCAACCAAUGUUCCAAUUAAAUGGCAAUAGAUGAUUAGAGAAGAAAUGACAUCCUCAUUUCAGAGAUAUUUUUACUCCAAUGUAUUUUUAAUGCUCUCAUGUCUUUUAUUAUUUUGACAGGUUUUUAGAAACAGUUUCAGAAGCCCUUGUUUGGGGCCUGAUUUUUUCCAAUGAGAGAUAUUUAAAAGUUUCAUGAGCACACUAUUGUAAUAUAUGAUACUAUUGAAUGAAAACAUUCUUAAAAGGUAAUUUAAAUAUUUACAUUGUUGAUAAAACCUUCUAGUGACAACACCUGCAAAAUAAAUAGGAGGCAAAUGGCUUUCUCUACUCAAUAGCAUGCAAUCUGAACCAGAACUCACCAAUAAUGAUAUUGAAAAAGUUCUGAUGACACAGUGAUGGCACUUACUGAAAAGGGGUCAUGAUAUGUAAGCAUAUGAUAAUAUAUCUGAUAAUUAGAAGCAAAAGACAAAUCAAAUAACAAAAGAUGCAUACACAAGAUCAGAUGUUGAUUUAAAAAAAUAAUAUACUCUUCUUCCUGGACAUUUUAAGUGUCUUAAAAGAUAUCAUCUCUAAAUAAACAAUGCUUUCAUGGGAAAACAAACACACCUUGGUACUUUUCAGGUAGUAUUUUAUACAUUGCAAAUUCUAGAAACAAAGUGGAUUCACAUGUAUUGCACCACGUGAUCCUCACAAACAUCUGCAACUCCAUUGAUUUCUCCUGUUAAUCAAUGGAAAACAUGAAAAUCUCCAAGACCA
Molecule: long non-coding RNA, 1626 nt
Organism: Acinonyx jubatus (cheetah)
Lineage: Eukaryota; Metazoa; Chordata; Mammalia; Carnivora; Felidae
Exons: 6
Source: RefSeq, a predicted model, not a curated record